Molecule: transfer RNA, 71 nt
Filed under: Marmota marmota marmota (Alpine marmot)
Lineage: Eukaryota; Metazoa; Chordata; Mammalia; Rodentia; Sciuridae
Also listed under: 4 other names
Rfam family: tRNA
About the family: Transfer RNA (tRNA) molecules are approximately 80 nucleotides in length. Their secondary structure includes four short double-helical elements and three loops (D, anti-codon, and T loops).
Source: Rfam by way of RNAcentral
GGAGUUGUAGCUCAGUGAUAGAGCACUUGCCUCACAAGUGUGAGGCACUGGGUUCUAUCCUAGCACCACUU